CGGCGAGGGGAGUGAAAAAGAACCUGAAACCGUGUACGUACAAGCAGUGGGAGCCUCUUUUAUGGGGUGACUGCGUACCUUUUGUAUAAUGGGUCAGCGACUUAUAUUCUGUAGCAAGGUUAACCGAAUAGGGGAGCCGAAGGGAAACCGAGUCUUAACCGGGCGUUAAGUUGCAGGGUAUAGACCCGAAACCCGGUGAUCUAGCCAUGGGCAGGUUGAAGGUUGGGUAACACUAACUGGAGGACCGAACCGACUAAUGUUGAAAAAUUAGCGGAUGACUUGUGGCUGGGGGUGAAAGGCCAAUCAAACCGGGAGAUAGCUGGUUCUCCCCGAAAGCUAUUUAGGUAGCGCCUCGUGAAUUCAUCUCCGGGGGUAGAGCACUGUUUCGGCAAGGGGGUCAUCCCGACUUACCAACCCGAUGCAAACUGCGAAUACCGGAGAAUGUUAUCACGGGAGACACACGGCGGGUGCUAACGUCCGUCGUGAAGAGGGAAACAACCCAGACCGCCAGCUAAGGUCCCAAAGUCAUGGUUAAGUGGGAAACGAUGUGGGAAGGCCCAGACAGCCAGGAUGUUGGCUUAGAAGCAGCCAUCAUUUAAAGAAAGCGUAAUAGCUCACUGGUCGAGUCGGCCUGCGCGGAAGAUGUAACGGGGCUAAACCAUGCACCGAAGCUGCGGCAGCGACACUGUGUGUUGUUGGGUAGGGGAGCGUUCUGUAAGCCUGUGAAGGUGUGCUGUGAGGCAUGCUGGAGGUAUCAGAAGUGCGAAUGCUGACAUAAGUAACGAUAAAGCGGGUGAAAAGCCCGCUCGCCGGAAGACCAAGGGUUCCUGUCCAACGUUAAUCGGGGCAGGGUGAGUCGACCCCUAAGGCGAGGCCGAAAGGCGUAGUCGAUGGGAAACAGGUUAAUAUUCCUGUACUUGGUGUUACUGCGAAGGGGGGACGGAGAAGGCUAUGUUGGCCGGGCGACGGUUGUCCCGGUUUAAGCGUGUAGGCUGGUUUUCCAGGCAAAUCCGGAAAAUCAAGGCUGAGGCGUGAUGACGAGGCACUACGGUGCUGAAGCAACAAAUGCCCUGCUUCCAGGAAAAGCCUCUAAGCAUCAGGUAACAUCAAAUCGUACCCCAAACCGACACAGGUGGUCAGGUAGAGAAUACCAAGGCGCUUGAGAGAACUCGGGUGAAGGAACUAGGCAAAAUGGUGCCGUAACUUCGGGAGAAGGCACGCUGAUAUGUAGGUGAAGUCCCUCGCGGAUGGAGCUGAAAUCAGUCGAAGAUACCAGCUGGCUGCAACUGUUUAUUAAAAACACAGCACUGUGCAAACACGAAAGUGGACGUAUACGGUGUGACGCCUGCCCGGUGCCGGAAGGUUAAUUGAUGGGGUCAGCGCAAGCGAAGCUCUUGAUCGAAGCCCCGGUAAACGGCGGCCGUAACUAUAACGGUCCUAAGGUAGCGAAAUUCCUUGUCGGGUAAGUUCCGACCUGCACGAAUGGCGUAAUGAUGGCCAGGCUGUCUCCACCCGAGACUCAGUGAAAUUGAACUCGCUGUGAAGAUGCAGUGUACCCGCGGCAAGACGGAAAGACCCCGUGAACCUUUACUAUAGCUUGACACUGAACAUUGAGCCUUGAUGUGUAGGAUAGGUGGGAGGCUUUGAAGUGUGGACGCCAGUCUGCAUGGAGCCGACCUUGAAAUACCACCCUUUAAUGUUUGAUGUUCUAACGUGGACCCGUGAUCCGGGUUGCGGACAGUGUCUGGUGGGUAGUUUGACUGGGGCGGUCUCCUCCUAAAGAGUAACGGAGGAGCACGAAGGUUGGCUAAUCCUGGUCGGACAUCAGGAGGUUAGUGCAAUGGCAUAAGCCAGCUUGACUGCGAGCGUGACGGCGCGAGCAGGUGCGAAAGCAGGUCAUAGUGAUCCGGUGGUUCUGAAUGGAAGGGCCAUCGCUCAACGGAUAAAAGGUACUCCGGGGAUAACAGGCUGAUACCGCCCAAGAGUUCAUAUCGACGGCGGUGUUUGGCACCUCGAUGUCGGCUCAUCACAUCCUGGGGCUGAAGUAGGUCCCAAGGGUAUGGCUGUUCGCCAUUUAAAGUGGUACGCGAGCUGGGUUUAGAACGUCGUGAGACAGUUCGGUCCCUAUCUGCCGUGGGCGCUGGAGAACUGAGGGGGGCUGCUCCUAGUACGAGAGGACCGGAGUGGACGCAUCACUGGUGUUCGGGUUGUCAUGCCAAUGGCACUGCCCGGUAGCUAAAUGCGGAAGAGAUAAGUGCUGAAAGCAUCUAAGCACGAAACUUGCCCCGAGAUGAGUUCUCCCUGACCCUUUAAGGGUCCUGAAGGAACGUUGAAGACGACGACGUUGAUAGGCCGGGUGUGUAAGCGCAGCGAUGCGUUGAGCUAACCGGUACUAAUGAACCGUGAGGCUUAACCUUACAACGCCGAAGGUGUUU
This 2435-nucleotide ribosomal RNA is filed under the name Escherichia coli. RNAcentral describes it as "partial 23S ribosomal RNA". It matches the Rfam family "Bacterial large subunit ribosomal RNA", at positions 527 to 2925 of the family's 2925-position model. The record is from RNAcentral. Lineage: Bacteria; Pseudomonadati; Pseudomonadota; Gammaproteobacteria; Enterobacterales; Enterobacteriaceae.